ACUGGGAUGCCUUAGUAACGGCGAAGUGAAGCGGCAAUAGCUCAAAUUUGAAAGCUGGCGCCUUCGGCGCUCGCGUUGUAAUUUGUAGAGGAUGCUUCGGCGAGGACUCCUGCCUAAGUUCCCUGGAAUGGGACGUCACAGAGGGUGAGAAUCCCGUAUGUGGCGGGCGGUCCAAGCCAUGUGAAGCUCCUUCGACGAGUCGAGUUGUUUGGGAAUGCAGCUCUAAAUGGGAGGUAAAUUUCUUCUAAAGCUAAAUACCGGCCAGAGACCGAUAGCGCACAAGUAGAGUGAUCGAAAGAUGAAAAGCACUUUGGAAAGAGAGUUAAAAAGUACGUGAAAUUGUUGAAAGGGAAGCGCUUGCAACCAGACUCGCCCGUAGUUGCUCAGCCUGCCUCUUGGCGGGUGUACUCUUCUGCGAUCGGGCCAGCAUUAGUUUGGGCGGCCGGAUAAAGGUGUCGGGAAUGUAGCACCCUUCGGGGUGUGUUAUAGCCCGGCGCGGAAUGCGGCCAGCCUAGACUGAGGAUCUCGCUUCGGCAAGGAUGCUGGCGUAAUGGUUGUAAGCGGCCCGUCUUGAAACACGGACCAAGGAGUCUAACAUCUAUGCGAGUGUUUGGGUGUCAAACCCAUGCGCGUAAUGAAAGUGAACGGAGGUGGGAACCCGCAAGGGUGCACCAUCGACCGAUCCUGAUGUCUUCGGAUGGAUUUGAGUAAGAGCAUAGCUGUUGGGACCCGAAAGAUGGUGAACUAUGCCUGAAUAGGGUGAAGCCAGAGGAAACUCUGGUGGAGGCUCGCAGCGGUUCUGACGUGCAAAUCGAUCGUCAAAUUUGGGUAUAGGG
RNAcentral lists this ribosomal RNA (836 nucleotides) under Phyllosticta speewahensis. RNAcentral's name for it is "LSU rRNA". It matches the Rfam family "Eukaryotic large subunit ribosomal RNA", at positions 68 to 922 of the family's 3401-position model. The record is from RNAcentral. Lineage: Eukaryota; Fungi; Ascomycota; Dothideomycetes; Botryosphaeriales; Phyllostictaceae.